UACGGAGGGAGCUAGCGUUGUUCGGAAAUACUGGGCGUAAAGCGCACGUAGGCGGCGCAGCAAGUCAGGGGUGAAAUCCCGGGGCUCAACCCCGGAACUGCCCUUGAAACUGCAGUGCUAGAAUCUUGGAGAGGCGAGUGGAAUUCCGAGUGUAGAGGUGAAAUUCGUAGAUAUUCGGAAGAACACCAGUGGCGAAGGCGGCUCACUGGACCGGCAUUGACGCUGAGGUGCGAAAGCGUGGGGAGCAAACAGG
RNAcentral lists this ribosomal RNA (253 nucleotides) under uncultured bacterium. RNAcentral's name for it is "partial 16S ribosomal RNA". It matches the Rfam family "Bacterial small subunit ribosomal RNA", at positions 524 to 776 of the family's 1533-position model. The record is from RNAcentral.